AGUCGAGGGGCAGCAUUAUAAAAGCUUGCUUUUAUAGAUGGCGACCGGCGCACGGGUGAGUAACGCGUAUGCAACCUACCUUAUACUGGGGGAUAGCCCAGAGAAAUCUGGAUUAAUACCGCAUAACAAUCAUGAUUCGCAUGUUUUAUGAUUUAAAACUCCGGUGGUAUAAGAUGGGCAUGCGUAGCAUUAGUUAGUUGGUGAGGUAACGGCUCACCAAGACAGUGAUGCUUAGGGGGUCUGAGAGGAUAGUCCCCCACACUGGUACUGAGACACGGACCAGACUCCUACGGGAGGCAGCAGUGAGGAAUAUUGGUCAAUGGACGCAAGUCUGAACCAGCCAUGUCGCGUGCAGGAUGACGGCCCUAUGGGUUGUAAACUGCUUUUUUACAGGAAUAAUUGCUUUUACGUGUAGAAGUUUGAAUGUACUGUAUGAAUAAGGAUCGGCUAACUCCGUGCCAGCAGCCGCGGUAAUACGGAGGAUUCGAGCGUUAUCCGGAUUUAUUGGGUUUAAAGGGUCCGUAGGCGGUCUUUUAAGUCAGUGGUGAAAUCCCAGAGCUCAACUCUGGAACUGCCAUUGAAACUGAAGGACUUGAAUAUGGUUGAGGUAGGCGGAAUACGUUAUGUAGCGGUGAAAUGCAUAGAUAUAACGUAGAACACCAAUUGCGAAGGCAGCUUACUAAGCCAUUAUUGACGCUGAUGGACGAAAGCGUGGGGAGCGAACAGGAUUAGAUACCCUGGUAGUCCACGCCGUAAACGAUGAUUACUCGUUGUGCACGAUACACUGUGCGUGACUGAGCGAAAGCAUUAAGUAAUCCACCUGGGGAGUACGUUCGCAAGAAUGAAACUCAAAGGAAUUGACGGGGGCCCGCACAAGCGGAGGAACAUGUGGUUUAAUUCGAUGAUACGCGAGGAACCUUACCUGGACUUAAAUGUAGAUUGACCGGCUUAGAAAUAGGUCUUUCCUUCGGGACAAUUUACAAGGUGCUGCAUGGUUGUCGUCAGCUCGUGCCGUGAGGUGUCGGGUUAAGUCCCAUAACGAGCGCAACCCCUAUCGUUAGUUGCUAGCAGGUAAUGCUGAGGACUCUAGCGAGACUGCCACCGUAAGGUGAGAGGAAGGUGGGGAUGACGUCAAAUCAGCACGGCCCUUACGUCCAGGGCUACACACGUGUUACAAUGGCCAGUACAAAGGGCAGCUACCUGGUGACAGGAUGCUAAUCUCAAAAGCUGGUCUCAGUUCGGAUCGGAGUCUGCAACUCGACUCCGUGAAGUUGGAUUCGCUAGUAAUCGUAUAUCAGCAAUGAUACGGUGAAUACGUUCCCGGGCCUUGUACACACCGCCCGUCAAGCCAUGGAAGCCGAGGGUGCCUGAAGUUCGUGACCGCAAGGAUCGACCUAG
This 1398-nucleotide ribosomal RNA is filed under the name Marinifilum sp. RNAcentral describes it as "bacterial SSU rRNA". It matches the Rfam family "Bacterial small subunit ribosomal RNA". The record is from RNAcentral. Lineage: Bacteria; Pseudomonadati; Bacteroidota; Bacteroidia; Marinilabiliales; Marinifilaceae.